UACGAAGGGGGCUAGCGUUGCUCGGAAUCACUGGGCGUAAAGGGUGCGUAGGCGGGUCUUUAAGUCAGGGGUGAAAUCCUGGAGCUCAACUCCAGAACUGCCUUUGAUACUGGAUGGCUUGAGUUUGGGAGAGGGAUGCGGAAUUCCAGGUGUAGCGGUGAAAUGCGUAGAUAUCUGGAGGAACACCGGUGGCGAAGGCGGCAUCCUGGACCAACACUGACACUGAUGAGCGAAAGCCAGGGGAGCAAACAGG
RNAcentral lists this ribosomal RNA (253 nucleotides) under uncultured bacterium. RNAcentral's name for it is "partial 16S ribosomal RNA". It matches the Rfam family "Bacterial small subunit ribosomal RNA", at positions 524 to 776 of the family's 1533-position model. The record is from RNAcentral.